AUUGAACGCUGGCGGCAGGCCUAACACAUGCAAGUCGAGCGAGCGGCGGACGGGUGAGUAAUGGCUGGGAACCUGCCUGAUGGAGGGGGAUAACUACUAGAAACGGUAGCUAAUACCGCAUACCAUCAGAUGUGCCCCGAUGGGAUUAGCUAGUAGGUGGGGUAACGGCCCACCUAGGCGACGGUCCCGAGCUGGUCUGAGAGGAUGACCAGCCACACUGGAACUGAGACACGGUCCAGACUCCGACGGGAGGCAGCAGUGGGGAAUAUUGCACAAUGGGCGCAAGCCUGAUGCAGCCAUGCCGCGUGUUUGAAGAAGGCCUUCGGGUUGUAAAGCACUUUCAGUGGGGAGGCGUUACCCGCAGAAGAAGCACCGGCUAACUCCGUGCCAGCAGCCGCGGUAAUUC
Molecule: ribosomal RNA, 406 nt
Filed under: uncultured bacterium
Lineage: Bacteria
Description: partial 16S ribosomal RNA
Rfam family: Bacterial small subunit ribosomal RNA
Source: RNAcentral